Molecule: ribosomal RNA, 478 nt
Filed under: uncultured bacterium
Lineage: Bacteria
Description: bacterial SSU rRNA
Rfam family: Bacterial small subunit ribosomal RNA
Source: RNAcentral
GACGAACGCUGGCGGCGUGCCUAACACAUGCAAGUCGAACGGAGAUCUUAUGGAAUGCGGCUUCGGCCAAAUGAAGUUUGAUCUUAGUGGCGGACGGGCGAGUAACGCGUGAGUAACCUGCCUUUCAGAGGGGGACAACAGUUGGAACGACUGCUAAUACCGCAUAACGUCAUUUGGGGGCAUCCUCGAGUGACCAAAGAUUUUAUCGCUGAAAGAUGGACUCGCGUCCGAUUAGCUAGAUGGUGGGGUAACGGCCUACCAUGGCGACGAUCGGUAGCCGAACUGAGAGGUUGAUCGGCCGCAUUGGGACUGAGACACGGCCCAGACUCCUACGGGAGGCAGCAGUGGGGGAUAUUGCACAAUGGAGGAAACUCUGAUGCAGCAACGCCGCGUGAGGGAAGACGGUCUUCGGAUUGUAAACCUAAGUUAUCAGGGACGAUUAUGACGGUACCUGAAGAGAAAGCUCGGCUAAUACGUG